This 274-nucleotide long non-coding RNA is filed under the name Lathyrus oleraceus (garden pea). Its description in RNAcentral is "Pisum sativum (pea) long non-coding RNA (PSAT_LNC015962)". The record is from RNAcentral. Lineage: Eukaryota; Viridiplantae; Streptophyta; Magnoliopsida; Fabales; Fabaceae.
UUUAUCUUGUUGUUUAUAUCUUAUGAUUAUUUCUCUGAGUGUGCCACAAGGAAUAUUUCAUCUGAUACAUUUUAAAGAUACUGAAGACUGCUUGCUUGGAUGUUGGCCAUAUUUAUUUGAUGCCUCUUAUCUUCAUAUUGAUUGCUUGGAUGGUUAUGUUUAUUGCUUGCUUAAAAGUCCAAAGGAAAUGGGUUUCUAUCUGACAUUCUUGUCUUGUGGAUUGCAUCCCAUUGGUCAGAUCUUUUCAACUCUAAACUUUUAAUUUUUGUCUAGG